Molecule: ribosomal RNA, 468 nt
Filed under: uncultured bacterium
Lineage: Bacteria
Description: partial 16S ribosomal RNA
Rfam family: Bacterial small subunit ribosomal RNA
Source: RNAcentral
GACGAACGCUGGCGGCGUGCUUAACACAUGCAAGUCGAACGGAAAGGCCCUGCUUUUGUGGGGUGCUCGAGUGGCGAACGGGUGAGUAACACGUGAGUUACCUGCCCUUGACUUUGGGAUAACUUCAGGAAACUGGGGCUAAUACCGGAUAGGAGCUCCUGCUGCUUGGUGGGGGUUGGAAAGUUUCGGCGGUUGGGGAUGGACUCGCGGCUUAUCAGCUUGUUGGUGGGGUAGUGGCUUACCAAGGCGUUGACGGGUAGCCGGCCUGAGAGGGUGACCGGCCACAUUGGGACUGAGAUACGGCCCAGACUCCUACGGGAGGCAGCAGUGGGGAAUAUUGCACAAUGGGCGGAAGCCUGAUGCAGCAACGCCGCGUGCGGGAUGACGGCCUUCGGGUUGUAAACCGCUUUCGCCUGUGACGAAGCGUGAGUGACGGUAAUGGGUAAAGAAGCACCGGCUAACUACGUG